GAUGAACGCUGGCGGCGUGCCUAAUACAUGCAAGUCGAGCGAACGGACGAGAAGCUUGCUUCUCUGAUGUUAGCGGCGGACGGGUGAGUAACACGUGGAUAACCUACCUAUAAGACUGGGAUAACUUCGGGAAACCGGAGCUAAUACCGGAUGAUAUUUUGAACCGCAUGGUUCAAAAGUGAAAGACGGUCUUGCUGUCACUUAUAGAUGGAUCCGCGCUGCAUUAGCUAGUUGGUAAGGUAACGGCUUACCAAGGCAACGAAGCAUAGCCGACCUGAGAGGGUGAUCGGCCACACUGGAACUGAGACACGGUCCAGACUCCUACGGGAGGCAGCAGUAGGGAAUCUUCCGCAAUGGGCGAAAGCCUGACGGAGCAACGCCGCGUGAGUGAUGAAGGUCUUCGGAUCGUAAAACUCUGUUAUUAGGGAAGAACAUAUGUGUAAGUAACUGUGCACAUCUUGACGGUACCUAAUCAGAAAACCACGGCUAACUACGUG
Molecule: ribosomal RNA, 497 nt
Filed under: uncultured bacterium
Lineage: Bacteria
Description: partial 16S ribosomal RNA
Rfam family: Bacterial small subunit ribosomal RNA
Source: RNAcentral